CGGAGUGUAGGUCAGUUGGUAGACUGCGUGGUUUGGGACCAUGAGGUCGGGGGUUCGAGUCCCUCCACUCCGACCA
RNAcentral lists this transfer RNA (76 nucleotides) under Clostridia bacterium. RNAcentral's name for it is "tRNA-Pro". It matches the Rfam family "tRNA". Rfam says of the family: Transfer RNA (tRNA) molecules are approximately 80 nucleotides in length. Their secondary structure includes four short double-helical elements and three loops (D, anti-codon, and T loops). Lineage: Bacteria; Bacillati; Bacillota; Clostridia. The record is from RNAcentral.